This 1590-nucleotide ribosomal RNA is filed under the name Triticum aestivum (bread wheat). RNAcentral describes it as "partial small subunit ribosomal RNA". The record is from RNAcentral. Lineage: Eukaryota; Viridiplantae; Streptophyta; Magnoliopsida; Poales; Poaceae.
GGCAGCAAAAAGCGGUGGAGAGCAGAGCGAGCUCUGGGACGGAGUUUUUUUUUUUUUCAGAGCGAGCUCUAGAUCUAGCUCCCGAGACAGCGGCCCUCCGCGGCCGCGGCCGCGGAUCCCACUCGGUUGCCGCAAGCGCUUCCGUUGCACCACUCCGCGGCUGCCGCAACUGGUGCUGUCCCCAAUCCGCGCUGCUGCUGCCGCUAAGCGAGGACUGGAGCUGCCGCUGAGCGAGUACCGGCGCUGCUGCUGAAACUGGCCGUCAGGACUGGACUGGCCCUGCCGCUUAGCGAGGAAGAGGAGGUUCGACGGAGGAGACGAGGUGUUUCCCUUGUCACAACGACUAGUAAAGACCGACUUAAGGCUCUUUAGGAACUAAAGAAGACCGGUAUGUAUAUAGUACAGUCGGAUGGUAUAGGAAAUAACACUGUUUUAUAAGACCUAUACACGUAAUAAUAGGUGUUAUCUGAACACAACUCUUGUUCUUCAAGAACCUCGAUAGUAAAAACGUAAGUUUUAGUAUUAAGUACCCUUGGACGACGACAGAUCUUGAAGGUAAGGAUAAACUUCUACAAAUAUAACGACGGUACAACAAAGAAGUAGCCAAAAAGAAGUUUUUACUGUAUCAAUGAAAUUUGAACUCCUUUAACAACGACUCAUGUACGGUUUGGUUUCACUAGUACUCUAUCCUGCCACAUAUACGAGUUCAACGAUUACUACUUGGUUUCACCAGUAAUGUAUCGAUUACAAAAAGAAAAAAUAACACGUUAAACACACCUUCACGUACACAUUGAGGUUUAAGAAACACUUACAACAAGGAGAAAUAACAAUGUCGCACCGUCUUUUUGUUGUAAGGUUAGUCCGGGAAUAUCAAAAACCAAAACGCAGAACGUGUACGUUCACCGACCUGACUGGCCUGGGUUUACUUGUUAGUCUUGCUCAGGUCCGUUCUCAUCAAUCCCGUCGAGGUUGCUGAAACUACUGACCUCUGAAACCGCUAGGUUGUGGUACCUAGUUUGCAGGCACCGCACCAGGCCUGCAAGUGUCAGAGUGUUUGGCCUUCGUUUCGACCUCCUUCAAACAUCCGCACGUCUGUAGGUGGUACAUCCGGAAGCUGUGGGAGCCGGGUGCUUUUGGAAGAGGGAGAGCAACGUAUCUAGCGACUACUCGCCCGACAGUGCCAGUACGAGCGUCUCUUUGGCCCGAAGUACCCACUCGUCGGUCGCAACAUGCUCAGGUACGUGUCACGGACGUGGUAGUCAGAACUGAGAACUCACCACCAUCGAGAUACAGUUGUUCCGACUACCUGCUCUUACGACGGUUGCAGCCAGCGAGGCACAACAAACGCGGUCCGGUGUUGUUGAUACUCCGGCCUAACAACUGAGGUGGAGGUAACCGCCGCAGCUGAUGGUCCGCCGCUUGAGUUUGCUCAUCCUGCACUUUGUGUCUGUACGGGUCCAGGCCGCUUCUCAUCUGAUGCCAGCCGAUGAAAACGAUACUUAAGAAAAAGAUUAUAAUUGCUUUACAGCACAUACGGUAAUAAACCAAGCCUAACCUACUGGCCGAAAGGAUUAAAGUAGGAGAACCAAC